UCCCUGGUGGCUCAGAUGGUAAAGCGUCUGCCUGCAAUGCAGGAGGGCUGGGUUUGAUCCUUGGGUAGGGAA
This 72-nucleotide transfer RNA is filed under the name Bos taurus (domestic cattle). It matches the Rfam family "tRNA". Rfam says of the family: Transfer RNA (tRNA) molecules are approximately 80 nucleotides in length. Their secondary structure includes four short double-helical elements and three loops (D, anti-codon, and T loops). RNAcentral also lists the same sequence under 4 other names. The record is from Rfam by way of RNAcentral. Lineage: Eukaryota; Metazoa; Chordata; Mammalia; Artiodactyla; Bovidae.